GACGAACGCUGGCGGCGUGCUUAACACAUGCAAGUCGAACGGAAAGGCCCUGCUUUUGUGGGGUGCUCGAGUGGCGAACGGGUGAGUAACACGUGAGUAACCUGCCCUUGACUUUGGGAUAACUUCAGGAAACUGGGGCUAAUACCGGAUAGGAGCUCCUGCUGCAUGUUGGGGGUUGGAAAGUUUCGGCGGUUGGGGAUGGACUCGCGGCUUAUCAGCUUGUUGGUGGGGUAGUGGCUUACCAAGGCUUUGACGGGUAGCCGGCCUGAGAGGGUGACCGGGCACAAUGGGACUGAGAGACGGACCAGACUCCUACGGGAGGCAGCAGGGGGGAAUAUUGCACAAUGGGCGGAAGCCAGAGGCAGCAACGCCGCGUGCGGGAUGACGGCCUUCGGGUUGUAAACCGCUUUCGCCUGUGACGAAGCGUGAGUGACGGUAAUGGGUAAAGAAGCACCGGCUAACUACGUG
Molecule: ribosomal RNA, 468 nt
Filed under: uncultured bacterium
Lineage: Bacteria
Description: partial 16S ribosomal RNA
Rfam family: Bacterial small subunit ribosomal RNA
Source: RNAcentral